AUAAGGAGCUUGCUCCUUUGAAGUUAGCGGCGGACGGGUGAGUAACACGUGGGUAACCUACCUAUAAGACUGGAAUAACUUCGGGAAACCGGAGCUAAUGCCGGAUAACAUAUAGAACCGCAUGGUUCUAUAGUGAAAGAUGGUUUUGCUAUCACUUAUAGAUGGACCCGCGCCGUAUUAGCUAGUUGGUAAGGUAAUGGCUUACCAAGGCGACGAUACGUAGCCGACCUGAGAGGGUGAUCGGCCACACUGGAACUGAGACACGGUCCAGACUCCUACGGGAGGCAGCAGUAGGGAAUCUUCCGCAAUGGGCGAAAGCCUGACGGAGCAACGCCGCGUGAGUGAUGAAGGUUUUCGGAUCGUAAAACUCUGUUAUUAGGGAAGAACAAAUGCGUAAGUAACUGUGCGCAUCUUGACGGUACCUAAUCAGAAAGCCACGGCUAACUACGUGCCAGCAGCCGCGGUAAUACGUAGGUGGCAAGCGUUAUCCGGAAUUAUUGGGCGUAAAGCGCGCGUAGGCGGUUUCUUAAGUCUGAUGUGAAAGCCCACGGCUCAACCGUGGAGGGUCAUUGGAAACUGGGAAACUUGAGUGCAGAAGAGGAAAGUGGAAUUCCAUGUGUAGCGGUGAAAUGCGCAGAGAUAUGGAGGAACACCAGUGGCGAAGGCGACUUUCUGGUCUGUAACUGACGCUGAUGUGCGAAAGCGUGGGGGAUCAAACAGGAUUAGAUACCC
RNAcentral lists this ribosomal RNA (732 nucleotides) under Staphylococcus succinus. RNAcentral describes it as "bacterial SSU rRNA". It matches the Rfam family "Bacterial small subunit ribosomal RNA", at positions 71 to 787 of the family's 1533-position model. Lineage: Bacteria; Bacillati; Bacillota; Bacilli; Caryophanales; Staphylococcaceae. The record is from RNAcentral.